ACCAGACUCCUACGGGAGGCAGCAGUGAGGAAUAUUGGUCAAUGGCCGGAAGGCUGAACCAGCCAAGCCGCGUGAGGGAGGAAGGCGCAGAGCGUCGCAGACCUCUUUUGCCGGGGGACAAAAGGCCGGACUCGUCCGGUCCUGAGGGUACCCGGAGAAAAAGCAUCGGCUAACUACGUGCCAGCAGCCGCGGUAAUACGUAGGUGGCGAGCGUUAUCCGGAAUUACUGGGUGUAAAGGGUGUGUAGGCGGGAGUGCAAGUCAGACGUGAAAACUAUGGGCUCAACCCAUAACGUGCGUUUGAAACUGUGCUUCUUGAGAGUGGGAGAGGUAAACGGAAUUCCUGGUGUAGUAGUGAAAUGCGUAGAUAUCAGGAGGAACACCGGUGGCGAAGGCGGUUUACCGGACCACAACUGACGCUGAGACACGAAAGCGUGGGGAGCAAACAGGAUUAGAUACCCGCGUAC
This 466-nucleotide ribosomal RNA is filed under the name uncultured bacterium. RNAcentral's name for it is "bacterial SSU rRNA". It matches the Rfam family "Bacterial small subunit ribosomal RNA", at positions 330 to 793 of the family's 1533-position model. The record is from RNAcentral.